RNAcentral lists this ribosomal RNA (253 nucleotides) under uncultured bacterium. Its description in RNAcentral is "partial 16S ribosomal RNA". It matches the Rfam family "Bacterial small subunit ribosomal RNA", at positions 524 to 776 of the family's 1533-position model. The record is from RNAcentral.
UACGUAGGGUGCAAGCGUUGUCCGGAAUUAUUGGGCGUAAAGAGCUCGUAGGCGGUCUGUCGCGUCGGCUGUGAAACCUUGGGGCUCAACCCCAAGCCUGCAGUCGAUACGGGCAGACUAGAGUGCGGUAGGGGAGACUGGAAUUCCUGGUGUAGCGGUGAAAUGCGCAGAUAUCAGGAGGAACACCGGUGGCGAAGGCGGAUCUCUGGGCCUUACCUGACGCUCAGGCACGAAAGCUAGGGGAGCGAACAGG